CCUACGGGAGGCAGCAGUGAGGAAUAUUGGUCAAUGGCCGAGAGGCUGAACCAGCCAAGUCGCGUGAGGGAAGAAUGUCCUAUGGAUUGUAAACCUCUUUUGUCAGGGAGCAAAGUCACCCACGUGUGGGUGUUGGAGAGUACCUGAAGAAAAAGCAUCGGCUAACUCCGUGCCAGCAGCCGCGGUAAUACGGAGGAUCCGAGCGUUAUCCGGAUUUAUUGGGUUUAAAGGGAGCGUAGAUGGGUUGUUAAGUCAGUUGUGAAAGUUUGCGGCUCAACCGUAAAAUUGCAAUUGAUACUGGCAGUCUUGAGUACAGUUGAGGUAGGCGGAAUGCGUGGUGUAGCGGUGAAAUGCAUAGAUAUCACGCAGAACUCCGAUUGCGAAGGCAGCAUACCGGCGCUCAACUGACGCUCAUGCACGAAAGUGUGGGUAUCGAACAGGAUUAGAUACCCUUGUAGUC
Molecule: ribosomal RNA, 460 nt
Filed under: uncultured bacterium
Lineage: Bacteria
Description: partial 16S ribosomal RNA
Rfam family: Bacterial small subunit ribosomal RNA
Source: RNAcentral